RNAcentral lists this ribosomal RNA (359 nucleotides) under Leuconostoc mesenteroides. RNAcentral's name for it is "bacterial SSU rRNA". It matches the Rfam family "Bacterial small subunit ribosomal RNA", at positions 516 to 873 of the family's 1533-position model. Lineage: Bacteria; Bacillati; Bacillota; Bacilli; Lactobacillales; Lactobacillaceae. The record is from RNAcentral.
CGCGGUAAUACGUAUGUCCCGAGCGUUAUCCGGAUUUAUUGGGCGUAAAGCGAGCGCAGACGGUUUAUUAAGUCUGAUGUGAAAGCCCGGAGCUCAACUCCGGAAUGGCAUUGGAAACUGGUUAACUUGAGUGCAGUAGAGGUAAGUGGAACUCCAUGUGUAGCGGUGGAAUGCGUAGAUAUAUGGAAGAACACCAGUGGCGAAGGCGGCUUACUGGACUGCAACUGACGUUGAGGCUCGAAAGUGUGGGUAGCAAACAGGAUUAGAUACCCUGGUAGUCCACACCGUAAACGAUGAACACUAGGUGUUAGGAGGUUUCCGCCUCUUAGUGCCGAAGCUAACGCAUUAAGUGUUCCGCC